GACGAACGCUGGCGGCGUGCUUAACACAUGCAAGUCGAACGGUGAAGCGCCUUCCUUUUUGGUGGGUGUGGAUGAGUGGCGAACGGGUGAGUAACACGUGAGUAACCUGCCCCCUUCUUCUGGAUAACCGCAUGAAAGUGUGGCUAAUACGGGAUAUUCUGGGUCUGUCGCAUGAUGGGUCUGGGAAAGAUAUUGUUUCGGUGGGGGAUGGGCUCGCGGCCUAUCAGCUUGUUGGUGGGGUGAUGGCCUACCGAGUCGGUGACGGGUAGCCGGCCUGAGAGGGUGGACGGUCACACUGGGACUGAGACACGGCCCAGACUCCUACGGGAGGCAGCAGUGGGGAAUAUUGCACAAUGGGCGCAAGCCUGAUGCAGCGACGCCGCGUGAGGGAUGGAGGCCUUCGGGUUGUGAACCUCUUUCGCCAGUGAAGCAGGCCUGCCUCGUUUGUGGGUGGGUUGACGGUAGCUGGAUAAGAAGCGCCGGCUAACUACG
Molecule: ribosomal RNA, 492 nt
Filed under: uncultured bacterium
Lineage: Bacteria
Description: partial 16S ribosomal RNA
Rfam family: Bacterial small subunit ribosomal RNA
Source: RNAcentral